AGGAUGAAGUAUUGUCGUGCAGACGUCCCCACUUUAAAUCUUUCCUCUACUCAGUCGACAGGGAAGCAGAAAGUUCAGAACUCUCACUAACUUUGAGGCGAUGGCGGGGCGAGUUUGUGUGGAGGUUUACAGACUGUCCGUGUUUACACAAAUACUGACUUUAUGUGUCGGCCACAACUUACACAUGAAAAACAUUGCACUUCACAAACCUUGCAACAUCAGCUCACGGCACGUGACCCAGGCCGACAGAAUAACAGGAGAUUGCUCAGCAGUCAUUAAUGGAGACACGGAGACUGUCUUAAAUACAGAGAGCAAUCCAACCAACUGCAUCAACACCAAACUUACAGACAACUCGCCCUUCUGGUGGGUGGAUCUGGGGCAGGAGUUCAUCAUCAACAAGAUCUCAAUAUAUGGACGUACUGGACAUAUUAUCAGAAUGAUCUGUGUCAACGUUUCUCUGAACGGAGAUGUAAUCAAAAGAUUCAUCGAUACAAACGGGUGGACAGAUGAUAAAUACGACAUCCCCGUAGGCCGUGGUGGGCGAGUGGUCAACAUCACCAAAGGCUGUGACAGCAGCGAUUUUGUCAUAAACCUUUGUCAGGUACAGGUGUGGGUGUGUGAGGACGGUUGGUAUGGAGACAACUGUACACAAGUCUGUGGUCACUGUGCUGGUGGCUCUGUCUGCGACAAGAUCAACGGGAACUGUACAUCCUGCCAGACAGGCUUCCAGUUACCAAAUUGUACAGAAUGUAAGGACGGUUGGUAUGGAGAGAGUUGUGGUGAAGUGUGUGGACAUUGUCUGAGAGGUAACACUACCUGUGACAACAAAAUCGGAUAUUGUCCUUCCUGUGGUGGAGCAUUUCAACCACCUCUGUGCAAAGAGAAGUGCAGUGCUGGGUAUUACGGUGAAAACUGCAAACAGACUUGUGGACAUUGUCGUGUCAACACCACGUGUGAUCCUGAUAAUGGAAAGUGCACGUAUGGAUGCUCAGGGGGCUACAAGGAGGGUCUGUGUAGCGAAUGUGAAGACGGUUGGUAUGGAGACAGCUGUACUGAAAGGUGUGGACAUUGUAUGGGAGGUAACUCUACCUGUCACAAGAAAUACGGAAGCUGUUCCUCCUGUGAUGGGGCAUUUCAGCCACCUCUGUGUAAAGAAACGGCGAAACGACCAGUCGACAAAACGUCCGUCGUCGAAACGCCCGAACACGCCAAAGGACAAACAGUAUUCUUAAAGCUUGUCAGGACGGUUGGUAUGGAAAAAUUGUCUUGAAAGGUGUGGUCACUGUGUGGGAGGUAUCUCUACUUGCGACAAGACGAGUGGAAGUUGUCCUUCUUGUGACGGUUCAUUCCAACCACCUCUGUGUAAAGAGUCGGUGAUGCCAUCGUCUGACAAGGAGACUGUCAGUCUGGCAGGUCCUAUG
This is an RNA transcript of Pomacea canaliculata, 1421 nucleotides long. It is a transcript of the gene named multiple epidermal growth factor-like domains protein 10, with no coding region annotated. The transcript has 11 exons. The record is from RefSeq and is a predicted model, not a curated record. Lineage: Eukaryota; Metazoa; Mollusca; Gastropoda; Architaenioglossa; Ampullariidae.